RNAcentral lists this non-coding RNA (29 nucleotides) under Mus musculus (house mouse). The record is from RNAcentral. Lineage: Eukaryota; Metazoa; Chordata; Mammalia; Rodentia; Muridae.
UGGAUCUGGGAUGUCACACUGCUUAUGGA